This 268-nucleotide long non-coding RNA is filed under the name Mytilus galloprovincialis (Mediterranean mussel). Lineage: Eukaryota; Metazoa; Mollusca; Bivalvia; Mytilida; Mytilidae. The record is from RNAcentral.
AACGACCGGGACGAACUUCACGUUACCUUGAACUUGUUUACAACGUUCUUCAAAAUCGGAGGUAUUUCUAAACCAAACGUCGUCUAUUGGCGAACUUUUUAAUUUUGGCGUCUUAGGAGACGCCCCUCACAUUAUGAAUUCCGAGAUCCAUCUCUCGAAGAUGUUAUUUGCCAAGUUGAACAUCAUAAUUAAAAAGAUAAACAGGAACAAAUGAAAAGAAAAAAUGAAAUGGUAUAAAUAAAAAAAAACUAGUUUUUGAUUCCAGAAC